RNAcentral lists this long non-coding RNA (228 nucleotides) under Mytilus galloprovincialis (Mediterranean mussel). The record is from RNAcentral. Lineage: Eukaryota; Metazoa; Mollusca; Bivalvia; Mytilida; Mytilidae.
CUUUCUUUUACGUCUUAAUUCUGAUAUGUAAAAUAACACUUAGUAAAAUAAUACAGUAAUUUUCUGUUGAUGUCUCAAAAAGGGGGGUUGUGUGUACUUCCUGAAUGUGUAUUGGCUUAUUGAUACAACGAAUGUGUAUUACCUGUCGGUUUAAAACUUGUCAAACAAAUGUUUUAAAAUUUAUCAAUUGUGUACAUAUAUAUUAUCAUUUAAAAUACAAGUUGAGUU